This 253-nucleotide ribosomal RNA is filed under the name uncultured bacterium. Its description in RNAcentral is "partial 16S ribosomal RNA". It matches the Rfam family "Bacterial small subunit ribosomal RNA", at positions 524 to 776 of the family's 1533-position model. The record is from RNAcentral.
UACGUAGGGGGCAAGCGUUAUCCGGAUUUACUGGGUGUAAAGGGAGCGUAGACGGCGAUGCAAGCCAGAUGUGAAAGCCCGGGGCUCAACCCCGGGACUGCAUUUGGAACUGUAUAGCUAGAGUGUCGGAGAGGCAGGCGGAAUUCCUAGUGUAGCGGUGAAAUGCGUAGAUAUUAGGAGGAACACCGGUGGCGAAAGUGGCUCUCUGGCCUGUAACUGACACUGAGGCUCGAAAGCGUGGGGAGCAAACAGG